Molecule: ribosomal RNA, 432 nt
Filed under: uncultured bacterium
Lineage: Bacteria
Description: partial 16S ribosomal RNA
Rfam family: Bacterial small subunit ribosomal RNA
Source: RNAcentral
ACGAACGCUGGCGGCAUGCCUAACACAUGCAAGUCGAACGAGACCUUCGGGUCUAGUGGCGCACGGGUGCGUAACGCGUGGGAACCUGCCCUUAGGUUCGGAAUAACUCCCCGAAAGGGGGGCUAAUACCGGAUAAUGUCUUCGGACCAAAGAUUUAUCGCCUUUGGAUGGGCCCGCGUUGGAUUAGCUAGUUGGUAGGGUAAAAGCCUACCAAGGCGACGAUCCAUAGCUGGUCUGAGAGGAUGAUCAGCCACACUGGGACUGAGACACGGCCCAGACUCCUACGGGAGGCAGCAGUGGGGAAUAUUGGACAAUGGGCGAAAGCCUGAUCCAGCAAUGCCGCGUGGGUGAUGAAGGCCUUAGGGUUGUAAAGCUCUUUUACCCGGGAUGAUAAUGACAGUACCGGGAGAAUAAGCUCCGGCUAACUCCGUG